AAAUUGAAGAGUUUGAUCAUGGCUCAGAUUGAACGCUGGCGGCAGGCCUAACACAUGCAAGUCGAACGGUAACAGGAAGCAGCUUGCUGCUUCGCUGACGAGUGGCGGACGGGUGAGUAAUGUCUGGGAAGCUGCCUGAUGGAGGGGGAUAACUACUGGAAACGGUGGCUAAUACCGCAUAACGUCGCAAGACCAAAGAGGGGGACCUUCGGGCCUCUUGCCAUCAGAUGUGCCCAGAUGGGAUUAGCUAGUUGGUGAGGUAACGGCUCACCAAGGCGACGAUCCCUAGCUGGUCUGAGAGGAUGACCAGCCACACUGGAACUGAGACACGGUCCAGACUCCUACGGGAGGCAGCAGUGGGGAAUAUUGCACAAUGGGCGCAAGCCUGAUGCAGCCAUGCCGCGUGUAUGAAG
This 413-nucleotide ribosomal RNA is filed under the name Salmonella enterica. Its description in RNAcentral is "bacterial SSU rRNA". It matches the Rfam family "Bacterial small subunit ribosomal RNA", at positions 1 to 410 of the family's 1533-position model. Lineage: Bacteria; Pseudomonadati; Pseudomonadota; Gammaproteobacteria; Enterobacterales; Enterobacteriaceae. RNAcentral also lists the same sequence under 6 other names. The record is from RNAcentral.